UGGCGAACGGGUGAGUAACACGUGGGUAACCUGCCCUUGGCUUUGGGAUAAGCCCUGGAAACGGGGUCUAAUACCGGAUAUGACUGACUCUCGCAUGGGGGUUGGUGGAAAGUUCCGGCGGCCAGGGAUGGGCCCGCGGCCUAUCAGCUUGUUGGUGGGGUGAUGGCCUACCAAGGCGACGACGGGUAGCCGGCCUGAGAGGGCGACCGGCCACACUGGGACUGAGACACGGCCCAGACUCCUACGGGAGGCAGCAGUGGGGAAUAUUGCACAAUGGGCGAAAGCCUGAUGCAGCGACGCCGCGUGAGGGAUGACGGCCUUCGGGUUGUAAACCUCUUUCGACAGGGACGAAGCGUAAGUGACGGUACCUGUAGAAGAAGCACCGGCUAACUACGUGCCAGCAGCCGCGGUAAUACGUAGGGUGCGAGCGUUGUCCGGAAUUAUUGGGCGUAAAGAGCUCGUAGGCGGUUUGUCGCGUCGACUGUGAAAACCUGGGGCUUAACUCUGGGCCUGCAGUCGAUACGGGCAGACUUGAGUUCGGUAGGGGAGACUGGAAUUCCUGGUGUAGCGGUGAAAUGCGCAGAUAUCAGGAGGAACACCGGUGGCGAAGGCGGGUCUCUGGGCCGAUACUGACGCUGAGG
This 641-nucleotide ribosomal RNA is filed under the name Actinophytocola sp. I12A-02586. Its description in RNAcentral is "bacterial SSU rRNA". It matches the Rfam family "Bacterial small subunit ribosomal RNA", at positions 96 to 751 of the family's 1533-position model. Lineage: Bacteria; Bacillati; Actinomycetota; Actinomycetes; Pseudonocardiales; Pseudonocardiaceae. The record is from RNAcentral.